UCGGAAUUACUGGGCGUAAAGCGUGCGCAGGCGGUUUUGUAAGUUUGUCGUGAAAUCCCCGGGCUCAACCUGGGAAUGGCGAUGAAGACUGCAAGGCUAGAAUCUGGCAGAGGGGGGUAGAAUUCCACGUGUAGCAGUGAAAUGCGUAGUGAUGUGGAGGAACACCGAUGGCGAAGGCAGCCCCCUGGGUCAAGAUUGACGCUCAUGCACGAAAGCGUGGGGAGCAAACAGG
RNAcentral lists this ribosomal RNA (232 nucleotides) under uncultured bacterium. RNAcentral describes it as "partial 16S ribosomal RNA". It matches the Rfam family "Bacterial small subunit ribosomal RNA", at positions 545 to 776 of the family's 1533-position model. The record is from RNAcentral.